UAUAAAGAUAAAUUAUUAAAAUAAAAUAUAAAAUUUAAAAACUGUAAUUGGUUGGUGGUGGUGGUGAUUUAUGUUGUUUCCCUCAAAACCAUUUUUCAUUUUUCAACAAAUUAAUAUCAAAAAUUAAAAUAACAAUAAAACCAUAAUAGUAAAGGUGACAAGAAUAAAUAAAUAAAUAAAUAAAAUAAAUAAAAAACAAAAACUAAAUAAAUAAAUAAAAAAAUAUAUAUGAAGUGUAAGUUUUAUAUUAAGAAAGUACACUGACACUGCAAACUAAGUAGUGUUAUAAUACAGAGGAAAAACAAUAAAGGUGAUAAAAUAAUAUUAUACGUAUAUAUAAAAAAAAUACUUCUUUACCAACAACAUUAAAAUAAAAGGUUAAAAAUAAAAAUAAAAAUCUGUGAUAAUGUCAGUUAAAAAAAUGUUACUAUUAACAAUUUUUUAUAUUUGGACAACAUCAUAUGAAGUUAACGGUUAUAAAACAUAUAAUAAUAGAUAUACCGUUGCUUCAGCAUCAUCAUCAGCAUCAUCCUCUUCAGAUAUAUCAUCAACAGAUAAUGAUCAUCCAAAUGAUAUUAUAUUAAGAGAAAAUGAUGCACCGGUAAGUUUUCCAAUGAAGGAGUUGGAGAAAUUCAACAGUAUUUCAACGUUAGAAGAACUUUACGAAAUGUUAGGAGAGGAACAGACUGAUGCUCCUGGAGAUUCAUUAAGUGAAUUGGGCUUAAAUUUAGGCAGAAGUGCUGUUCAAAUACCAGUCCAAGCAAAAUGUGAACCUAGAGAUACUGUUGUCGAUAUAGUUCCAGAGAAUUCAUCCAGACAUCGUAUAUAUUUCCCAGGAUGUAUAUUAGUUAAAAGAUGUAGUGGUUGUUGUAUUCCAAGAGAACUUAAAUCUUGUCAACCAAGUUCAACAUCACUUUUGAAUUAUGCUGUUGUUGUUAGCGAUUUUGAUAUGAAAACAGGACGUACUAAAUUAAGACCAAAAAGAGAAAUUGUUACAGUUGAACAACAUGAUUCAUGUACAUGUCAAUGUAUAGUUAAAGCAGAGGAUUGUGGAGAGUUCCAAAAAUAUGAUCCAAUCAACUGUCAAUGUAUAUGUCCUAAUGUUGAUGAUAAGGAAAAAUGUGAAAAGGAUAAUGAAAAAAUUUGGGUACCACAAAGUUGCGCAUGCAGAUGUCGAAAUCAAUCUGUUUGUACAUCGGGAACAUUUUUUGAUGAAAAUAUUUGUGCAUGUAAAGCGAUUGAUGACUUUGACUUUUAGCCUCUUUUAAUAGAAUUUAUAAUGUGAAAUUAUAAAAAAAUAAAUAAAACAGAACAAAAAUAUAUAUAGAAAUUUUAAAUAUAUAUAUAUAUUUAUAUAUAAUGCCAUUAUAUACUCAUAAUCUCUUUUUUACAUAUUAUAAUAUAAUUACAAUAGCAUAUUAUAUAAUACAUACAUAUUUUAUUUUGAAUUGUUUUUCAAUAAAAUUGUUAAAUGAUUAAAAAAAAAUUAAUUUAAAAAUUUUCUGCCAUGUAAUCGACGUAACAGAAUAGUUAGCCCAGUUUUAGUUGAUCCUGAUACAAAUACACAAUACACAAUUGCCGGUUAAAGAAUAAUUAAAUAUAAAUUUAUAACCAACAUAAUUUAAUUAUUAUUUUAAAAAAUUAAUUCAUAAUUAAUUUAUAUUAUUAUAUAAAAUAAAAAAAUUUUAGUGAAGGAAUAAAAAAAAAUUAUAUAAAUACACAAAAUUUACACAUUUCAAAAUUGAAAAUUGUAUUAAAAUUGUAUAAUUGAAUUAAUUUAUUCCAAUAAUACAAUAUUACAAUAUUUUUAGCGAUUAUUCAAAAAUUUCAUACAGAAAAGAAUAAUCAAAGGAAAUAUUUAGUUGAAAAAGGCUAGUCUCACUAUAUGUGCGUCAGUAUUAUCAGGGAUUUCAAGAUAACAUGAUACAUAUAAACACAAUUAUCUUUUAAAUACAAAUUUUUGGUAAUUUUAUUUUGGAAACUUAAAUUGAACGAAUUCAAAAAUUUAACUUCACUUAAAUUUAAGAACACUAUUUAGAUGUUAAAGGCUCAAAAAAGUUUAUGUUUCAUUAAAGUGUUAAAUUGAAUAAUUAAAAAAACUGUUGUUACAAGAUUACUGAUUCUUGCAGUUUUUAAGCACAAAAAUCUUAAAAACUGAAAUGACUACAUAGAUUUGGAAUUAGUUUAGCAAUAUAAAAACUAACUUUAUUAUUUCUAAUAUGUGUCAGAGCGAAGUUCCAGACGGAAGAAGUAAUUAGACUCGAGUGGCUCACUUGAUGUAGUCAAUUUUAAUAUUGCUAUUUGAUAAAAAAAAUCAUUUUUUCAUCACAAAAAAGGUAAACUUUCAAUUUCCUAACUCUAAAAGGUAAAAUUUAAAAAACACUAUAGCUGAACUGGCUUUUUUCAAUUCACAAAACAUUUGACUACUGGCAAAACUAAAAUAGUUAAUAAGUAUUCUUAUUUAUAUGUUAUGUAAGUUUGUAUGGAGGAGAACAAACAAAAAGAAAGAUUAAGAAAAAGCAAAAACAAAAAUGAUUCAUAAUUAAAUUAUUAAAAAUUAAAUAGAAAAAAAUAUUCUUCUGAAACAAUAUAUUUAUAAAAAAUAUGUAUUUUAAAAAAACAAAAACUUUUGUAUUCAUUGAGGUCAUUAAAAAUCCUACAUAUCGCUCGUUCGCUGCAACAUAAAUCAAAAAAUAUGGUUUCUGAGUUAAUUAUAUAGAAAUGAGCACCUAAAACAUUUCUUUUUUAUGGAGAAACGUUAUUUCUCUAGCUUGAAAAAUACACUUUUCUAUGCAGUGUUGCAGCAAACAAAUUAUAUUUGUGCUAACCAAUUUUGUGUUUGAACGAUUAUU
Molecule: RNA transcript, 2852 nt
Organism: Condylostylus longicornis
Lineage: Eukaryota; Metazoa; Arthropoda; Insecta; Diptera; Dolichopodidae
Gene: Pvf1
Exons: 10
Source: RefSeq, a predicted model, not a curated record